This 274-nucleotide small nuclear RNA is filed under the name Nannospalax galili (Upper Galilee mountains blind mole rat). Its description in RNAcentral is "7SK RNA (ENSNGAG00000002663.1)". It matches the Rfam family "7SK RNA". Rfam says of the family: 7SK was discovered as an abundant small nuclear RNA in the mid-70s but a possible function has only recently been suggested. Lineage: Eukaryota; Metazoa; Chordata; Mammalia; Rodentia; Spalacidae. The record is from RNAcentral.
GGAUAUGAGAAUGAUCUAUGACAUUUGCUACCUCAUUGAUCACCAGUGUUAAUUUGACUGGCCUGUCUGGUUAAGCAGGUGUCCCCUUCCUCCCUUACUGGUUCAUGUGUGUUCCUCCUGAAACUGUGCACUCAAUAAGAAGAUGACCUUCCCACAACAGAAAAGGGUACCAAGUAGCUACACUCCCAUGCUAGAACCUCCAAACAAGCUUCCAUGACACAAGUAAAAAUGCAAUGAGUGCUUACUUGUUCUCAAAAAAACUAUCUGAUAUGUU